Molecule: ribosomal RNA, 433 nt
Filed under: uncultured bacterium
Lineage: Bacteria
Description: bacterial SSU rRNA
Rfam family: Bacterial small subunit ribosomal RNA
Source: RNAcentral
UCGAGGAUCUUCGGCAAUGAGCGCAAGCUUGACCGAGCGACGCCGCGUGAGCGAUGAAGGCCUUCGGGUUGUAAAGCUCUUUAGUGGGGGAGAAAAGCCGAAAGGUGUGAUCUAUCCCAAAAAUAAGCACGGGCUAAGUUCGUGCCAGCAGCCGCGGUAAGACGAACCGUGCGAACGUUAUUCGGAAUCACUGGGCUUAAAGGGCGCGUAGGCGGGCUGUCAAGUCUGGGGUGAAAUCCCGCGGCUCAACCGUGGAACUGCCUCAGAUACUGACGGCCUCGAGGAAGGUAGGGGCAUGCGGAACUGUAGGUGGAGCGGUGAAAUGCGUUGAUAUCUACAGGAACUCCGGUGGCGAAAGCGGCGUGCUGGACCUUUUCUGACGCUGAGGCGCGAAAGCUAGGGGAGCAAACGGGAUUAGAUACCCCCGUAGUCC